UGCUGGAGGUAUCAGAAGUGCGAAUGCUGACAUAAGUAACGAUAAAGCGGGUGAAAAGCCCGCUCGCCGGAAGACCAAGGGUUCCUGUCCAACGUUAAUCGGGGCAGGGUGAGUCGACCCCUAAGGCGAGGCCGAAAGGCGUAGUCGAUGGGAAACAGGUUAAUAUUCCUGUACUUGGUGUUACUGCGAAGGGGGGACGGAGAAGGCUAUGUUGGCCGGGCGACGGUUGUCCCGGUUUAAGCGUGUAGGCUGGUUUUCCAGGCAAAUCCGGAAAAUCAAGGCUGAGGCGUGAUGACGAGGCACUACGGUGCUGAAGCAACAAAUGCCCUGCUUCCAGGAAAAGCCUCUAAGCAUCAGGUAACAUCAAAUCGUACCCCAAACCGACACAGGUGGUCAGGUAGAGAAUACCAAGGCGCUUGAGAGAACUCGGGUGAAGGAACUAGGCAAAAUGGUGCCGUAACUUCGGGAGAAGGCACGCUGAUAUGUAGGUGAAGUCCCUCGCGGAUGGAGCUGAAAUCAGUCGAAGAUACCAGCUGGCUGCAACUGUUUAUUAAAAACACAGCACUGUGCAAACACGAAAGUGGACGUAUACGGUGUGACGCCUGCCCGGUGCCGGAAGGUUAAUUGAUGGGGUUAGCGGUAACGCGAAGCUCUUGAUCGAAGCCCCGGUAAACGGCGGCCGUAACUAUAACGGUCCUAAGGUAGCGAAAUUCCUUGUCGGGUAAGUUCCGACCUGCACGAAUGGCGUAAUGAUGGCCAGGCUGUCUCCACCCGAGACUCAGUGAAAUUGAACUCGCUGUGAAGAUGCAGUGUACCCGCGGCAAGACGGAAAGACCCCGUGAACCUUUACUAUAGCUUGACACUGAACAUUGAGCCUUGAUGUGUAGGAUAGGUGGGAGGCUUUGAAGUGUGGACGCCAGUCUGCAUGGAGCCGACCUUGAAAUACCACCCUUUAAUGUUUGAUGUUCUAACGUUGGCCCCUGAUCGGGGUUGCGGACAGUGUCUGGUGGGUAGUUUGACUGGGGCGGUCUCCUCCUAAAGAGUAACGGAGGAGCACGAAGGUUGGCUAAUCCUGGUCGGACAUCAGGAGGUUAGUGCAAUGGCAUAAGCCAGCUUGACUGCGAGCGUGACGGCGCGAGCAGGUGCGAAAGCAGGUCAUAGUGAUCCGGUGGUUCUGAAUGGAAGGGCCAUCGCUCAACGGAUAAAAGGUACUCCGGGGAUAACAGGCUGAUACCGCCCAAGAGUUCAUAUCGACGGCGGUGUUUGGCACCUCGAUGUCGGCUCAUCACAUCCUGGGGCUGAAGUAGGUCCCAAGGGUAUGGCUGUUCGCCAUUUAAAGUGGUACGCGAGCUGGGUUUAGAACGUCGUGAGACAGUUCGGUCCCUAUCUGCCGUGGGCGCUGGAGAACUGAGGGGGGCUGCUCCUAGUACGAGAGGACCGGAGUGGACGCAUCACUGGUGUUCGGGUUGUCAUGCCAAUGGCACUGCCCGGUAGCUAAAUGCGGAAGAGAUAAGUGCUGAAAGCAUCUAAGCACGAAACUUGCCCCGAGAUGAGUUCUCCCUGACUCCUUGAGAGUCCUGAAGGAACGUUGAAGACGACGACGUUGAUAGGCCGGGUGUGUAAGCGCAGCGAUGCGUUGAGCUAACCGGUACUAAUGAACCGUGAGGCUUAACCUU
This 1676-nucleotide ribosomal RNA is filed under the name Escherichia coli. RNAcentral's name for it is "partial 23S ribosomal RNA". It matches the Rfam family "Bacterial large subunit ribosomal RNA", at positions 1271 to 2925 of the family's 2925-position model. Lineage: Bacteria; Pseudomonadati; Pseudomonadota; Gammaproteobacteria; Enterobacterales; Enterobacteriaceae. The record is from RNAcentral.